UACGGGGGGGGCAAGCGUUGUUCGGAAUUACUGGGCGUAAAGGGCUCGUAGGCGGCCAACUAAGUCAGACGUGAAAUCCCUCGGCUUAACCGGGGAACUGCGUCUGAUACUGGUUGGCUUGAGUUUGGGAGAGGGGUGCGGAAUUCCAGGUGUAGCGGUGAAAUGCGUAGAUAUCAGGAGGAACACCAGCGGCGAAGGCGGCGCUCUGGGCCGGUACUGACGCUGAGGAGCGAAAGCGUGGGUAGCAAACAGG
Molecule: ribosomal RNA, 253 nt
Filed under: uncultured bacterium
Lineage: Bacteria
Description: partial 16S ribosomal RNA
Rfam family: Bacterial small subunit ribosomal RNA
Source: RNAcentral